Molecule: long non-coding RNA, 474 nt
Organism: Hyla sarda
Lineage: Eukaryota; Metazoa; Chordata; Amphibia; Anura; Hylidae
Exons: 4
Source: RefSeq, a predicted model, not a curated record
GUAUAAGGCUGUAUUAGGCCCCAUGGGAAAAAGAAUUUGACAUUCACAGUACUUCCAACUGGAUUUUAAUGUGGCAGGGACACAUAUGACGCCACCACUGGAUAGAAUAGCAUCCAGCCUGGAAUGAGGACCCCUAGUGGUUAAAGAUAUACAAACCUUGAUCCAGUAAAUGAGAUUGUAAUGACGAUUUGGAGCUGAAAUAUCAAUCUUGUCUGUCCUAUAUAUUUCAUCAACAAAAUAUUUUGCAUCAUAUUCACCAAGGCUCUGCAUAAUUUUAUACACAUGAAGAGUUUUUAAACUUAAUACAACAUAAGGUAACAUCUAAGCUGAAAGGGAACCUGACAAUUACUUUUCUGCUGUGUGCUGGGCUUCCUUCUCCUCCCGCCUUGUCUCAUGUGUACAUUAUUCUCAUUAGAUGAUGUUUCCCAGUUUGUCCUUCUUCAUCAAGUCUAAAUAAAUAUUUCUGACUGACUG